This 470-nucleotide ribosomal RNA is filed under the name uncultured organism. Its description in RNAcentral is "partial 16S ribosomal RNA". It matches the Rfam family "Bacterial small subunit ribosomal RNA", at positions 335 to 797 of the family's 1533-position model. The record is from RNAcentral.
ACUCCUACGGGAGGCAGCAGUGGGGAAUUUUGGACAAUGGGCGAAAGCCUGAUCCAGCAAUGCCGCGUGAGUGAAGAAGGCCUUCGGGUUGUAAAGCUCUUUUGUCAGGGAAGAAACGGUGAAAGCUAAUAUCUUUUGCUAAUGACGGUACCUGAAGAAUAAGCACCGGCUAACUACGUGCCAGCAGCCGCGGUAAUAAGUAGGGUGCAAGCGUUAAUCGGAAUUACUGGGCGUAAAGCGUGCGCAGGCGGUUUUGUAAGUCUGAUGUGAAAUCCCCGGGCUCAACCUGGGAAUUGCAUUGGAGACUGCAAGGCUAGAAUCUGGCAGAGGGGGGUAGAAUUCCACGUGUAGCAGUGAAAUGCGUAGAUAUGUGGAGGAACACCGAUGGCGAAGGCAGCCCCCUGGGUCAAGAUUGACGCUCAUGCACGAAAGCGUGGGGAGCAAACAGGAUUAGAAACCCCAGUAGUCCC